GCUCCUACGGGACGCAGCAGUGGGGAAUAUUGGGCAAUGGGCGCAAGCCUGACCCAGCAACGCCGCGUGAAGGAAGAAGGCUUUCGGGUUGUAAACUUCUUUUCUGAGGGACGAAGAAAGUGACGGUACCUCAGGAAUAAGCCACGGCUAACUACGUGCCAGCAGCCGCGGUAAUACGUAGGUGGCAAGCGUUAUCCGGAUUUAUUGGGUGUAAAGGGCGUGUAGGCGGGAUUGCAAGUCAGAUGGGAAAACUAUGGGCUCAACCCAUAGCCUGCAUUUGAAACUGGAUUUCUUGAGUGCUGGAG
Molecule: ribosomal RNA, 305 nt
Filed under: uncultured bacterium
Lineage: Bacteria
Description: bacterial SSU rRNA
Rfam family: Bacterial small subunit ribosomal RNA
Source: RNAcentral